This 447-nucleotide ribosomal RNA is filed under the name uncultured bacterium. Its description in RNAcentral is "partial 16S ribosomal RNA". It matches the Rfam family "Bacterial small subunit ribosomal RNA", at positions 29 to 523 of the family's 1533-position model. The record is from RNAcentral.
AACGAACGCUGGCGGCAGGCUUAACACAUGCAAGUCGAGCGCCCCGCAAGGGGAGCGGCAGACGGGUGAGUAACGCGUGGGAACGUGCCCUUUGCUACGGAAUAGCUCCGGGAAACUGGAGUUAAUACCGUAUGAGCCCUACGGGGGAAAGAUUUAUCGGCAAAGGAUCGGCCCGCGUUGGAUUAGCUAGUUGGUGGGGUAAAGGCCUACCAAGGCGACGAUCCAUAGCUGGUCUGAGAGGAUGAUCAGCCACAUUGGGACUGAGACACGGCCCAAACUCCUACGGGAGGCAGCAGUGGGGAAUAUUGGACAAUGGGCGCAAGCCUGAUCCAGCCAUGCCGCGUGAGUGAUGAAGGCCUUAGGGUUGUAAAGCUCUUUCACCGGAGAAGAUAAUGACGGUAUCCGGAGAAGAAGCCCCGGCUAACUUCGUGCCAGCCGCCGCCGUAA